GUGCCAGCAGCCGCGGUAAUACGGAGGGUGCAAGCGUUGUUCGGAAUUACUGGGCGUAAAGGGCGUGUAGGCGGUGUGGUAUGUCAGAUGUGAAAGCCCUGGGCUUAACCCAGGAAGUGCAUUUGAAACUGCCAUGCUUGAGUAUGGGAGAGGAGAGUGGAAUUCCCAGUGUAGAGGUGAAAUUCGUAGAUAUUGGGAGGAACACCCGUGGCGAAGGCGACUCUCUGGACCAAUACUGACGCUGAGGCGCGAAAGCGUGGGGAGCAAACAGGAUUAGAUACCCUAGUAGUCC
This 292-nucleotide ribosomal RNA is filed under the name uncultured bacterium. RNAcentral describes it as "partial 16S ribosomal RNA". It matches the Rfam family "Bacterial small subunit ribosomal RNA", at positions 505 to 796 of the family's 1533-position model. The record is from RNAcentral.